This 220-nucleotide long non-coding RNA is filed under the name Panax ginseng (ginseng). RNAcentral's name for it is "long non-coding RNA (PGIN_LNC013787)". The record is from RNAcentral. Lineage: Eukaryota; Viridiplantae; Streptophyta; Magnoliopsida; Apiales; Araliaceae.
CACCCAAGUAUCCAUCAUAAGCCUAAUAAGCAAAUUAGUUCAUAACGAAUGAAAUAACAACUGAAUAAUCUAAAGAAAACAUCCUUGCAAUUACAAAUAAAAGACUAAAGAGAAGAAUAGUGAUUAACGCCCUUCACGUAGCCUAGAAUUGCAAUCGUCACAAAAAUCUCUUCAAAAUACUCCUCCUAUGCUUCUGUCAAAUUCUGGAAAAUAAUCUCUG